UCCAUGGCCUGUGGUAAGCCCUCGAAAGUGACCAUUGUCGAGACUCGCGCGGGACUGUGGUGUGUGCACGCUUUCGAGCGCGCGAAAAAAAAGGCUGUAGUUUUUUCAAUUUCCAUCAAAAUCGAGUCAACCAAAAUGGAUAUUAUUCCUCAAGAGAAUUAGUUAUGAUCCCCGGAGAUCCUGCGGAGAUCUCAACGAUUCCUAGUGUGAAAAAGUAUAGAGAAUGUGAAACCGUUGGCAUCGCCUGCUCGUUUUUGCUCCAUUGGUCAAAAAUACGCAUUCUUUGAAGCAGUGUUUUGUCGACUCGGUCGGAGCCUCGUGGCCCGCCUCGUGGGAUUAGUGUAGCGGGGCGACGCAGACAACGUCAUUCAUCGAAACGACGUCGAUGAUGAGAAUUCAGAUAGCGAUUAGUAUGUAUCUUUAAAAAUUAUGUUAUUUUGUUUUAUAAGAAAAAAAUCUGUAUGAAUUAAAGAAAUUAACUUACAAAAUAUCACUUUUAACAAAGUUAUACCAUUUCUCACGAAAUAUUCCUGCCAUUUUCGGUCCACCAUUUUUAAUUUCGCAUUUUUACAUUCGUUUUCGGAAUCGGCGACCCCAAAAACAUUACUAGUAUGAAUUUC
RNAcentral lists this long non-coding RNA (620 nucleotides) under Neodiprion pinetum (white pine sawfly). RNAcentral's name for it is "uncharacterized LOC124210982". The record is from RNAcentral. Lineage: Eukaryota; Metazoa; Arthropoda; Insecta; Hymenoptera; Diprionidae.